ACUAGAUGGGCCAAAUGGUUCUUGUCUGCCGUCACAUUCUAUGUUUCUAUACUGUGCACCAAACCCACAAGUGAUGAGGUACACAACAUGCUUGGAGGAACAUGAAAUCCGGCUCUGAAUUUUAAACAUCUCCUUAGUCUCGGUACUUUUAAAUUCACUAUAUGAUGUAAAUGAAUAUCUGCACGCCUUACAUUUUCCACACGUGUAGAAUCCAGUAGGAGAUGUAGUUCCCUCUAUCUUCCCCCUGAACGUACUCAGAGCCAAGAUAUUCUUUAGAUUAUUUCCCCUCUUAAAAAUCAUUCUAGGGUUAGUUGGAAACUAAGCAUUUGCCUUGG
Pelobates cultripes (western spadefoot toad) is the source of this 335-nucleotide non-coding RNA. The record is from the annotation of a GenBank genome assembly. NCBI's taxonomy places the organism in Eukaryota, Metazoa, Chordata, Amphibia, Anura, Pelobatidae.